Molecule: microRNA precursor, 135 nt
Filed under: Hordeum vulgare
Lineage: Eukaryota; Viridiplantae; Streptophyta; Magnoliopsida; Poales; Poaceae
Description: microRNA MIR1122
Rfam family: MIR1120/MIR1122 microRNA precursor family
Source: RNAcentral
AUGGUACUCCCUCCGUUCAAAAUUCUUGUCUUAAAUUUAUCUAGAUAUAAAUAUAUUUAGUCACGUUUUAGUAUCUAGAUACAUUCAUUUUUAAACAAACAUAAGACAAAAAUUUUGGGACGGAGGGAGUAACAU